AUAUAUUAUUAGUAACAGUGCAUUUGUACAGUAUUCUAGGAGAAUGGAUCUAAUUAUUUUUGUGUGGGAUGACAUCAUUGGGUAAUGAUGGGUGUGGUUUGUCUCAAAAAUUACAACUUCUCAUCUUUCAUGACUUUCUCUCUUCCAUGUUUGUCUUUGAUGAAGAGAUUCCAAAUGAACCAUUAGCUCAAUGUCUUUAGCAGCACCAGCUGUAGCAGUAGCAAGUGGGUGGAGUUAAUUCUGGUUCUCUGUUACCCACUCCACAGACCAGUCUACUGGGAACACCACAAAUGGUCACCUGAUAGAGAUAGGAGGAGACACUCACGAUCAAGAAGCCAUUCAAGAUCUCAUUUACCAAGAAGGAAAUCAUCAUCAAGACGUAAGGAUAGAGUGAGGGAUUAUUCCUACAGUCCUAGUCCAGAGAGGAGGAGGAGUAGUAAGAAAUCUAAAAAAGACAAAAAACACAAGAGAAGGUCUCCCUCUGUCUCUCCCUCAGUCUCUCCUCCUCCACGUAAAAAUCUAAACCAACAAGAUCAGAAAAGAAAACACAAUAUUAGUCAAAGUGUACACUGCUACAUGCUAAACAUGUCUUUCAAGCAUUCAUGCCUUCAUUUUGACCAAAAAUUGUGUCAACAGUGGAGUAUGGUUUAUCUAUCUAAUUAUCUGUUCACUAUAGUCUCGCACACAUGAUACUACUGACCACACACACUUCAUCCUUCCCAUCUUUUGGCAGUAUACCCAUCUCUCCAUAUCUAUUGUGUAACUUGACAGAUUUGUUCCCUUUGUUAUGUUUUAGAUUUUUCAAACACAAUGUAAUGUUCUUUGUAAUGUUCAAAACUUUGUUUGAAAAUGACAAUAUCACUGCAUUUUAAUGUUCACAAAAAUAGUGAAUUUUGAAUGCCAGUACAUUUGUCAUCUUCCUACUACUUGAUGACUAUUAUAUUUAUUAUUAUUUUAUUUUAUUCUUUAGGAGGUGGCUCUGAUAAAGGUGAAGGAGAGGAGGAGGAGAUGGAGGAAGAGAAAGAGUUCUUUGAUGGAAGUGCUCCUUCUGAGGAGGAGAGACAAUCAAGUCCUUCAGCAUCAGAAUAGAACCGUUAAUGGUUGAUUUCUUUUAACCAAUAGAUCAGAAAAAUAGUGUGAUAAUUAAUAUGUAUGGAAAAAAUGUUUUUCAAGUAUUUGCACCUUUAAUUUUGACCAAAAAUGAUAUCAAUAGUGGAGUAGAGA
Long non-coding RNA from Amphimedon queenslandica, 1224 nucleotides. RefSeq lists it as uncharacterized. NCBI's taxonomy places the organism in Eukaryota, Metazoa, Porifera, Demospongiae, Haplosclerida, Niphatidae. The record is from RefSeq and is a predicted model, not a curated record. The transcript has 4 exons.